Molecule: unclassified non-coding RNA, 336 nt
Filed under: soil metagenome
Description: partial contains 5.8S ribosomal RNA, internal transcribed spacer 2, and large subunit ribosomal RNA
Rfam family: 5.8S ribosomal RNA (bases 1-120)
Source: RNAcentral
GAUGAAGAACGCAGCGAAAUGCGAUAAGUAAUGUGAAUUGCAGAAUUCAGUGAAUCAUCGAAUCUUUGAACGCACAUUGCGCCCGCCAGUAUUCUGGCGGGCAUGCCUGUUCGAGCGUCAUUUCAACCAUCAAGCCCCAGGCUUGAGUUGGGGACCUGCGGCUGCCGCAGGCCCUGAAAACCAGUGGCGGGCUCGCUGUCACACCGGGCGUAGUAGAUUUUAUCUCGCUCAGGGCGUGCUGCGGGUUCCGGCCGUUAAAAAGCCUUUUUUACCCAAGGUUGACCUCGGAUCAGGUAGGAAGACCCGCUGAACUUAAGCAUAUCAAUAAGCGGAGGA